This 1395-nucleotide ribosomal RNA is filed under the name Triticum aestivum (bread wheat). RNAcentral's name for it is "partial small subunit ribosomal RNA". Lineage: Eukaryota; Viridiplantae; Streptophyta; Magnoliopsida; Poales; Poaceae. The record is from RNAcentral.
AUGCCGCAGCAGGAGGUGCCCGACCAGAUCGCCGCAGGGUGGUUCGCGGUGGAGGCGCCGGAGCGACCGGGGAGCCUCCAGAGGAGCGGCUCCAACAGCCGCCUCAACGCGCAGGCGCCGGAAUUCGUGCCGCGGGUCGCGGCGGUGGUUCCACCGCCACAGCCACCGCCGGCAGUGAUUCGUGUGUUUGCGGUUCCCUCGCCUCCACCUCGCGCGGCUUUCUUUGCGGCUCCCCCGCCUCCCCCGUCGUUCGAGUUCUUCGCGCCGGUGAGGGUUGGCGGUGCAUUUGUGGCCGAGGAGCCAGCUCCGGAGAUGGAGCGCGCGACGCCACCUGUUGCUGAGCCGGCGGUGGACGGGCUUACUGAUGAGGUGGUGCAGAAGAUCACCAAGCAGGUGGAAUACUAUUUCAGUGAUAUAAACCUGGCCACUACGGAACAUCUGAUGAGAUUUAUUAGCAAGGAUCCUCAGGGAUAUGUGCCAAUAUCAGUUAUUGCUGGCUUCAAGAAAAUAAAAGCUUUAGUGCAUAAUAACCCAAUGCUUGCUGCAGCUCUCCGUACCUCGUCAAAACUUGUUGUAAGUGGUGAUGGAAAAAGAGUAAAACGCCGACAUCCAUUUACUGAAUCUGAUAUGCAGGAGUUCCAGUCCCGAAUUGUAGUGGCAGAAAAUCUUCCUGGUGAUCCUUCUUACCAGAAUCUUAUGAAGAUCUUUUCAGCUGUUGGCAGUGUGAGAACAAUUCGUACUUGCUAUCCUCAGACUCCAAAUGGUCCUGGUCCUGCUACUAAUAGAUCUGCCAAGCUAGAUAUGCUGUUUGCCAACAAGCUGCAUGCUUUUGUGGAGUAUGAGACUCAUGAGGAUGCUGAGAAGGCAAUUCUGGAGCUGAAUGAUGAAAGGAACUGGAGAAAUGGGCUUAGAUCACGGCUGCUGAAUACUUGCAUGACAAAGGGUCCAGUAAAAGGGAAAACGGGAGGGCAUGAAGGUGAUGGAAAUGGUGAGGACGACGUCUCCACUUCAAACCAAUCAAACGAGAGACAGCUUGAAGGAUCCUUUCAACUGGCAGAUGUAUUGCCAGAGCACCUGUUUGAUGAGAACAGUGACAAGCAAGGUCCAAAGCAUGGCAAAGGCCGUGGGUGUUGCGGUAAAGGCCGAGGCCGUGGCUACCAUCAACUGAACAACUAUCAUCAUCACAUUCACAAUGGCAGCAACCAUCACCAGGUUAUCAACAGUCGUGGCAGCCAUCCAGUUGGGACACCACCGAACACCCAGCUUAUCAUGGUCGAGCAGCUACUACCUGUGGCAAACAAACAGCCACCUGGCCCACGAAUGCCUGAUGGCACUCGUGGUUUCGCCAUGGGCAGGGGGAAGCCAUCAUCAGCUUCGUGCGCCGUCGAGCUUUAA